RNAcentral lists this long non-coding RNA (269 nucleotides) under Sinocyclocheilus grahami. RNAcentral describes it as "lncRNA (ENSSGRG00000019225.1)". Lineage: Eukaryota; Metazoa; Chordata; Actinopteri; Cypriniformes; Cyprinidae. The record is from RNAcentral.
UUAAUUCAAUUAUAUAUUUUUAUUCUUCAUACAUCUAAAUGUCCCAGCAGCCCCAGCCACAACACGCACUCUUUCAACUGAGUCUCAAACAGAUGUCCCAGCAGCUUCUACCACUACAAGCUCUCCCUCAACUGAGAUUCAAACAUCAGCUCCUAUAACUACUGCUACUUCAAGCUCUCCUUCAACUGAGUCUGAAACAUCAGCUCCUACACGUGAGUAUUCUUAUUCAUGGACAAUUGAGCAAAUGUGUGAAUAGGAAAAUUAAAAUU